GAUGAAGAACGCAGCGAAAUGCGAUACGUAAUGUGAAUUGCAAAUUCAGUGAAUCAUCGAGUCUUUGAACGCACAUUGCGCCCCCUGGUAUUCCGGGGGGCAUGCCUGUCCGAGCGUCAUUGCUGCCCUCAAGCACGGCUUGUGUGUUGGGCCCCGUCCUCCGAUCCCGGGGGACGGGCCCGAAAGGCAGCGGCGGCACCGCGUCCGGUCCUCGAGCGUAUGGGGCUUUGUCACCCGCUCUGUAGGCCCGGCCGGCGCUUGCCGAUCAACCCAAAUUUUUUAUCCAGGUUGACCUCAGAUCAGGUAGGGAUACCCGCUGAACUUAAGCAUAUCAAUAAGCGGAGGA
Molecule: unclassified non-coding RNA, 346 nt
Filed under: soil metagenome
Description: partial contains 5.8S ribosomal RNA, internal transcribed spacer 2, and large subunit ribosomal RNA
Rfam family: 5.8S ribosomal RNA (bases 1-119)
Source: RNAcentral